This 460-nucleotide ribosomal RNA is filed under the name uncultured bacterium. Its description in RNAcentral is "partial 16S ribosomal RNA". It matches the Rfam family "Bacterial small subunit ribosomal RNA", at positions 338 to 795 of the family's 1533-position model. The record is from RNAcentral.
CCUACGGGAGGCAGCAGUGAGGAAUAUUGGUCAAUGGACGCAAGUCUGAACCACCCAUGCCGCGUGCAGGAAGACGGCUCUAUGAGUUGUAAACUGCUUUUGUACGAGGGUAAACGCAGAUACGCGUAUCUGUCUGAAAGUAUCGUACGAAUAAGGAUCGGCUAACUCCGUGCCAGCAGCCGCGGUAAUACGGAGGAUUCAAGCGUUAUCCGGAUUUAUUGGGUUUAAAGGGUGCGUAGGCGGUCGGAUAAGUUAGUGGUGAAAUCCCGAGGCUCAACUUCAGAAUUGCAUAUGAUACUGGUCGUCUAGAGAGCAGUAGAGGUAGGCGGAAUGUAUGGUGUAGCGGUGAAAUGCUUAGAGAUCAGACAGAACACCGAUUGCGAAGGCAGCUUACCAAGCUACUACUGACGUUGAGGCACGAAAGCGUGGGGAGCAAACAGGAUUAGAUACCCUUGUAGUC